This 254-nucleotide ribosomal RNA is filed under the name uncultured bacterium. Its description in RNAcentral is "partial 16S ribosomal RNA". It matches the Rfam family "Bacterial small subunit ribosomal RNA", at positions 524 to 776 of the family's 1533-position model. The record is from RNAcentral.
UACGUAGGGUGCAAGCGUUGUCCGGAAUUAUUGGGCGUAAAGAGCUCGUAGGCGGUUUGUCGCGUCUGCUGUGAAAACCCGAGGCUCAACCUCGGGCCUGCAGUGGGUACGGGCAGACUAGAGUGCGGUAGGGGAGAUUGGAAUUCCUGGUGUAGCGGUGGAAUGCGCAGGAUAUCAGGAGGAACACCAAUGGCGAAGGCAGAUCUCUGGGCCGUAACUGACGCUGAGGAGCGAAAGCAUGGGGAGCGAACAGG